CAGUCGCCGCGGUAAUACGUAGGGUGCGAGCGUUAAUCGGAAUUACUGGGCGUAAAGCGUGCGCAGGCGGUUAUAUAAGACAGAUGUGAAAUCCCCGGGCUCAACCUGGGACCUGCAUUUGUGACUGUAUAGCUAGAGUACGGUAGAGGGGGAUGGAAUUCCGCGUGUAGCAGUGAAAUGCGUAGAUAUGCGGAGGAACACCGAUGGCGAAGGCAAUCCCCUGGACCUGUACUGACGCUCAUGCACGAAAGCGUGGGGAGCAAGCAGGAUUAGAUACCCCAGUAGUCCCUGUCUCUUAUAA
This 301-nucleotide ribosomal RNA is filed under the name uncultured bacterium. RNAcentral's name for it is "partial 16S ribosomal RNA". It matches the Rfam family "Bacterial small subunit ribosomal RNA", at positions 509 to 809 of the family's 1533-position model. The record is from RNAcentral.